CACGUAGGGCGCGAGCGUUGUCCGGAAUUAUUGGGCGUAAAGAGCUCGUAGGCGGCCUGUUGCGUCCGCUGUGAAAGCCCGGGGCUUAACCCCGGGUCUGCAGUGGAUACGGGCAGGCUAGAGGUAGGUAGGGGAGAAUGGAAUUCCCGGUGUAGCGGUGAAAUGCGCAGAUAUCGGGAGGAACACCGGUGGCGAAGGCGGUUCUCUGGGCCUUACCUGACGCUGAGGAGCGAAAGCGUGGGGAGCGAACCGG
This 253-nucleotide ribosomal RNA is filed under the name uncultured bacterium. Its description in RNAcentral is "partial 16S ribosomal RNA". It matches the Rfam family "Bacterial small subunit ribosomal RNA", at positions 524 to 776 of the family's 1533-position model. The record is from RNAcentral.